Molecule: ribosomal RNA, 301 nt
Filed under: uncultured bacterium
Lineage: Bacteria
Description: partial 16S ribosomal RNA
Rfam family: Bacterial small subunit ribosomal RNA
Source: RNAcentral
CAGUAGCCGCGGUAAUACGUAGGUGGCAAGCGUUGUCCGGAAUUAUUGGGCGUAAAGGGCUCGCAGGCGGUUUCUUAAGUCUGAUGUGAAAGCCCCCGGCUCAACCGGGGAGGGUCAUUGGAGACUGGGAAACUUGAGUGCAGAAGAGGAGAGUGGAAUUCCACGUGUAGCGGUGAAACGCGUAGAGAUGUGGAGGAACACCAGUGGCGAAGGCGACUCUCUGGUCUGUAACUGACGCUGAGGAGCGAAAGCGUGGGGAGCGAACAGGAUUAGAUACCCCGGUAGUCCCUGUCUCUUAUAC